This 465-nucleotide ribosomal RNA is filed under the name uncultured bacterium. RNAcentral's name for it is "partial 16S ribosomal RNA". It matches the Rfam family "Bacterial small subunit ribosomal RNA", at positions 28 to 507 of the family's 1533-position model. The record is from RNAcentral.
GAUGAACGCUGGCGGCGUGCUUAACACAUGCAAGUCGAACGGAAAGGCUCCUGCUUGCAGGGGUACUCGAGUGGCGAACGGGUGAGUAACACGUGGGUGAUCUGCCCUGCACUUCGGGAUAAGCCUGGGAAACUGGGUCUAAUACCGGAUAGGACCACAUUUUGGAUGGUGUGGUGGAAAGUUUUUCGGUGUGGGAUGAGCUCGCGGCCUAUCAGCUUGUUGGUGGGGUAAUGGCCUACCAAGGCGUCGACGGGUAGCCGGCCUGAGAGGGUGUACGGCCACAUUGGGACUGAGAUACGGCCCAGACUCCUACGGGAGGCAGCAGUGGGGAAUAUUGCACAAUGGGAGCAAGCCUGAUGCAGAGACGCCGCGUGGGGGAUGACGGCCUUCGGGUUGUAAACUCCUUUCGCUAGGGACGAAGCGCAAGUGACGGUACCUGGAGAAGAAGCACCGGCUAACUACGUG